CCUACGGGUGGCACAGUGGGGAAUAUUGCACAAUGGGCGCAAGCCUGCUGCAGCCAUGCCGCGUGUGUGAAGAAGGCCUUCGGGUUGUAAAGCACUUUCAGCGGGGAGGAAGGCGUUAAGGUUAAUAACCUUGGCGAUUGACGUUACCCGCAGAAGAAGCACCGGCUAACUCCGUGCCAGCAGCCGCGGUAAUACGGAGGGUGCAAGCGUUAAUCGGAAUUACUGGGCGUAAAGCGCACGCAGGCGAUCUGUCAAGUCGGAUGUGAAAUCCCCGGGCUCAACCUGGGAACUGCAUUCGAAACUGGCAGGCUAGAGUCUUGUAGAGGGGGGUAGAAUUCCAGGUGUAGCGGUGAAAUGCGUAGAGAUCUGGAGGAAUACCGGUGGCGAAGGCGGCCCCCUGGACAAAGACUGACGCUCAGGUGCGAAAGCGUGGGGAGCAAACAGGAUUAGAUACCCCGGUAGUC
Molecule: ribosomal RNA, 464 nt
Filed under: uncultured Klebsiella sp.
Lineage: Bacteria; Pseudomonadati; Pseudomonadota; Gammaproteobacteria; Enterobacterales; Enterobacteriaceae
Description: bacterial SSU rRNA
Rfam family: Bacterial small subunit ribosomal RNA
Source: RNAcentral